Vicugna pacos (alpaca) is the source of this 2726-nucleotide non-coding RNA. NCBI's taxonomy places the organism in Eukaryota, Metazoa, Chordata, Mammalia, Artiodactyla, Camelidae. The record is from RefSeq and is a predicted model, not a curated record.
AUAGGGCUUGCCAUGGCUGCAGGGAGCCCAGAGCCCACGGGGCUGCCAGAAGCAGCCCGUCUCUUCUUCCCUCUCGGGCCCUGCACCUGCCCGAGGCCCCACGUCCAGCUGGGCUGGGAGCCUGUGUCUCUCCUUCCGGGGAGCUGGGAGUUCAGCUGGCUCAGUCCCACGGCCAUGGCUGCCUUCAGCUGGGGGCUGGGCUCUCGUCUUCCGGUGUUGGGUGUAGCUGUAGAACUUUCCAGGCUCUCUGGUGCUUGACUUCUUGAUAUUUGCCAUCUCGAAUCUGGAAAGCUGGCUGUUCCCGGGAGAGGCGUUUUUGGGCGGGUUCCUGGGUUUUCUGAGGCUGGAGGUCAGCUUCCUCCAUCUUCCUUGCUGAUGCCUUCCCACCAGUCAGACGGAGCAGGUGGUCAUUCCUUUGGGGUGAGGGGAGCCCGGGCACGUGGAUGGAGGCGUGAAGGGUGUCCACCUCGCCACCCCCUCACUGAGCUCACCAAUGACUGGUUCCCUGGCUCCUUCUGAAAGCAGCUAGAACCUUCCUCAGGAAACUGACAGAUGAAAAAACUGCAGUAUUUCCUCACCCGUGGGCAGAGGGCCUACCACAGAUUCCACAAUAGAGGAAGUGUUAGAAAUUUAUUGAAUUAAUAAAUCAAUGGAUUUCUUCAAUGUACCAGAAUAUCCUUUGGCAGGAAAUCCUUGGUCAAAAAAGCAUGUGGUAAGGAGACAAAUUCAAAGUAAGGAUUUAUUGAAAACAAACUUGAGGCAUAGUCUAAGGUUGCUGGAGAUCUGGCCCACAAUGGACACCUAGCAUCUGUCUGUAUGGCAUUGAAAAAAUAUUGCCUACAAAUGUGAAUCUGAGGCCCUCAAGAUAUUGAAUCAACAAUGAAAAGAUUAAUUUAUUGUUAUUUGUUACAUAGCUUGUGCAAGGCCUGUGCUAUAAAGCAGAAACAUGGACCAAUAUAUUUUAUUGAAACUUUAAACGAUGACAGUAAAAUUGUUCUGGUGCAUGGUGAACUUAUAAGAAAGCUCAGUCGACCAGACAUGGAAUUUUGCAGGCGCUUCCUGGGAUAAUGUGACGCAUUCUCUUCAUGACUCACAGUGAAGCUUUAGUUCCAUCCAUCACGACAGCCUGGACACUUCAAUCAACCAGUGGAAGUAAUCACGCCACCCUCUCAGGGGAUAUGUUGAUUUCUGGGUCCAUUUGUCAUUCCUAACAGAUCAGAAAGUUUUCACCCAUCUGGACAGGCUUUAUUCAUCAGUGUGUGUGUCACAUGCGUGCAUACAAGAAAGACCUGCCAGGUUUCAUUAACCAGAGCCUCUAAGGAGCACAUGGGAUGUCUUUUCCCUUUAGGAGAAGCCCUGGAGUGCGUCGCCUUUGAUCUGGGCUGAGACAGCUGUGGUUAGCACAGGGCAGGGCGGACCGCGGUUCUGACGCCGUGGAGGAGCUUGUGGAGGCUGGACCUGUCAGAUGUGACUUUAGUCUCAUAACUUUGGAACAGUAAAUGGCCCUUUGCUUUGGAAGCCAGUCCACAGUUUGCUGGAUCCACGACAAGAUCUGAAUUUCAGUUUGUGGAUAUUGUUAAGUGUGUUUGGGGGCAAGAUUUGCUGACUGGGCAAGAAGUAAGGAUUAUUUUAUUCACGGACACGCGUCUCUAAAAAUUUCACAGUCGGUGUGAAGCAGGACAUGGUAGUGUUCACGGAGCCUUUGGGAACAGGCUUGGUGCCAGCUUGGACCUUCACCCCAGCAUCAGCCCUCCUACCAUCAGGGUGUCCUUUUAGGCUCUGUCUUCGGGUACAAACUGCAGACAAACUAGGUCCCCCGGGGAGAUGGGGGAACACACGUGUGUUUCACCAAGGCGAGGAUGGGGAAGUGGUGGCUGUUGGUGGCGGAGGCGGGCCCAGCGCAGCAAGCGCAGAGCCCUCACCUGCGGGCCCCCCUAUCGGGGGGCAGCUCCGGUUCCCAUGCAUCCCUCCUUGUCAGUGUCACCCAUGUGAUCAGGGCUGCAAAGGCCGUGAUGCUGUUCAUGCCAUCUCGCGAAAGUCCGGCCCAUUUCCCUUCCUGGGGACCCGCCCUGCCCUGCUGACUUCUGGCGGAGCACCAGCCCCAGAGGUGGCUCCCCCAGUUCUAACGACGGAGGACGGCCCCUCCCGGGAAUAAACCUGAAUCCCACAUCCUCCGCGUGGUCUGCGGUUCCCGUGCACCCGAUGAAACGCACGUGAGCUGAUUCUGAGAACAGAGGGACUUCGAGGAGGAAGGCAGCCGCUCCCUCUGCCCAGAGAUGGCUGGACCUGCGGCGAGAGUGCGCUCUGGGGGCGGGAACAGUGAGAAAUUAGGGGCUGGGAUGGCCGGGACCUUGGCCUGCGGUAACUGGAAGCCUGUGGGGGCGUCUGGAGAGUUUUGGAAACUUACUGUGAGUGUGGUGUUCCUGGGGUCGCUCCUGAUGGGAGAUCAGGUUGAAGAGCAGCGAUGAACCGGGCGGGAGGCCCUAGACCCACCUACCACUAAAACAGUUUGAUGUUUGACCACUUGAUUAAUCCCCCUAUCUCGCAGUGAGCGAUAUACUCGCAGUGACUGAGGAAAGCGAUUCUGAUGUUACUGGGUAUUUGGAUAGCUAAACAACGUGAUUUUUGCGACUUUUGUUUAAAUGCCAUGCGAUCCACAAAGUGUUACACAAAUGUUAUUUUUAGUGAUGUGUCCCUUAAAAUAGUAAAGCAUGGGUUUACACCUA